RNAcentral lists this ribosomal RNA (254 nucleotides) under uncultured bacterium. RNAcentral describes it as "partial 16S ribosomal RNA". It matches the Rfam family "Bacterial small subunit ribosomal RNA", at positions 524 to 776 of the family's 1533-position model. The record is from RNAcentral.
CACGUAGGCACCAAGCGUUGUCCGGAUUUAUUGGGCGUAAAGAGCUCGUAGGCGGUUCGGUAAGUCGGGUGUGAAAACUCUGGGCUCAACCCAGAGCCGCCACCCGAUACUGCUGUGACUUGGGUUCGGUAGGGGAGCGGGGAAUUCCUGGUGUAGCGGUGAAAUGCGCAGAUAUCAGGAGGAACACCAGUGGCGAAGGCGCCGCUCUGGGCCGACACUGACGCUGAGGAGCGAAAGCGUGGGUAGCAAACAGG